RNAcentral lists this ribosomal RNA (254 nucleotides) under uncultured bacterium. RNAcentral's name for it is "partial 16S ribosomal RNA". It matches the Rfam family "Bacterial small subunit ribosomal RNA", at positions 524 to 776 of the family's 1533-position model. The record is from RNAcentral.
UACGUAGGGCGCAAGCGUUGUCCGGAAUUAUUGGGCGUAAAGAGCUCGUAGGCGGCUUGUCACGUCGGGGUGUGAAAGCCCGGGGCUUAACCCCGGGUCUGCAUUCGAUACGGGCUGGCUAGAGUGUGGUAGGGGAGAUCGGAAUUCCUGGUGUAGCGGUGAAAUGCGCAGAUAUCAGGAGGAACACCGGUGGCGAAGGCGGAUCUCUGGGCCAUUACUGACGCUGAGGAGCGAAAGCGUGGGGAGCGAACAGG